AACUGCUAAAAGAAAGACAAGCCCGGAAACCUAUUUUAGAAGUGUCCGUCGUCCGUCUCCUUAUAACGUAAUGGUAACAGUCGACGCAAAACCCACCAAAUCGCUCAAAUUCGCCAUUUAUAGCCACAGAAACGACAAUACACAGCAAGUGAGGUUUGGGACCCUCAGUCAGUUGUAAACCAGCUCUUUCUUAGUGAACAGGUGUAUAGAAAAGAGCUACGCAUUUUAUUGUUGGUAAAGACAGAGUCCUGUCCUAUAAGGACCAUCUUAUCAAACUUAAGUUACUGCCACCAAGUUACUGGCUUGAAUAGCUAGACUUAGUUCUCUUCCAUAAGUGCAUGAAAGGUGAUGUUAAAUUUGCCAGACAUUUUGAUAACUAUUUUUUAUUAUUAAGGGGGCACUCUCACCAUCCUAGUACUGAGCUUUAUCUUAGGACAAAUAGAAACCCUACCUCACAUUUUUGGGACUAUUUCUUUAAUACAAUUGUAUCGUGUGGAAUAGUAUCCCUGAUGAUAUCAAGUUGGUGGAAUCCUUCGGUUCAUUUUUUAAGGAACUUUACAAUUUUUUCAAUGGGGACAAUGUUCAUUCAUUUAAGAUUAUCUCUCCCAAAUUUAGAAGAGUAAAUUUUUAUUGUGCCUGCACUUGAAAAUUAUUAAUUAAUCAAAUAACCCUUUUUUUGGUUGAUGGAUUGUGGAAGGCAUUUUUUUUUCUUGUUUUUAAAUUAUUAUUACCAUGGGGCUGGGCUGGUAUUUGAAUCUUGUAGGGGACAUAAUGUCUUAUUAUUUGUACUACCUGUACAUUGUAAUUAGUCUACAAAUCUUUAAAUAAGUAAAUACUCAAAAUAGGCAAUUUUGGUCGGGGAGAAACUCAUUUUAGUGUCCUUUUGAAGAACAUUGCAGAAAAUGUUUAUAUUGAAAUGUUUUACAGUGAAGGCAAGGGGCAUGAAAGAUUUAGUAGGCUGCAGUUAUCAUUCAUAUAGUUUUUCCUUUUAGAUAACUGUGUAAUUCUUAAUUAGAUUGAUUAGGAAUGGAAUUUUGUGUUAGAUGUAUACAUGUAGCUUCAUGCCGGUGGAUCAAAAACUUGCAUCUCAUGGCAGACUACUGUUUUAUUCCUAGCCCAAAAAAAAAUUGCAACAUUAAUUACAGCAUUGACAGAUACUUUUAAUGAAAACAUAAAGGAAAAGGAUUUUGGCCUAAAUUGUGUGAGUAAUAAAGCGUAAAACUCAAAAGUCUUAAGCCUGCAUUCAGGAAAUGCAUAGAAUUGUAGAAAAUAGGUCAGUGGAUGUCCUUUUGGUUUGUUGGACAUGAGGAGGUUCUCAUUGAAAAAUCUUGGUCCUCUUAGGGUAAAAAUGUCUUGAUAUUGACUAGGGUAAAUUUGGCAAGUAUACAAUUUCCUUUAUUUUUGUAAACCUCAAUUGUGAAGGCAGUGCAGUUGAGUUAAUUAAGUCUUGGGCACAAUACAUAACCUUUUCACUUUCUAGAUCUGUCUUUUUGGGGUCAGAGUUCAAGCCCUUUGGUACUUUGAUCACCUAGUUUUUCUAUCUCUUUAAGUUGUCUUUGUUUUUCUGUUAACUUCGGAAAGCUCAUUUAUGUUGUGGCAAUGAAAAAUUGUUCAUAAUACUUUUUUAGUCUCUGAGAUAAAGGUGCUAUGUUGGGCAUGCGGGCCCGCGGUAUCUGUCACAUAUGGGCACUCAUGCCAUGUAUGUACCCUGUAGAUUUGAGAACCGCGCGCCAUGUUGAAAAUAUAGACGUUGAGUUUGUAUUGAGUUGUAGUUUUUCGUAUGACUUAAAUCCGUGAAACACAACAAAAGGAACACUCUGAUGACAGCUGUGUCUGUUCAAAUAGGAAUUUUUAAGCUGUGCAUUGCCAUAUUUUAUAUCAAGAAAGUGGUAAUGAUGUGUUGUUGUGAUAUGCAAAUUUUUACAGUUUAAACUGGGUGGAUUAGUUGCACCCAAAUAACAUCUGGUUGUAAACAUUCAGUUACUCAAUAAAGAAAAUGUUAGUUGUUA
Molecule: long non-coding RNA, 2009 nt
Organism: Stylophora pistillata
Lineage: Eukaryota; Metazoa; Cnidaria; Anthozoa; Scleractinia; Pocilloporidae
Source: RefSeq, a predicted model, not a curated record